AACGAACGCUGGCGGCAGGCCUAACACAUGCAAGUCGAACGCCCCGCAAGGGGAGUGGCAGACGGGUGAGUAACACGUGGGAACCUUCCCUAUAGUACGGAAUAGCCCAGGGAAACUUGGAGUAAUACCGUAUACGCCCGAAAGGGGAAAGAAAUUCGCUAUAGGAUGGGCCCGCGUAGGAUUAGCUAGUUGGUGAGGUAAUGGCUCACCAAGGCGACGAUCCUUAGCUGGUUUGAGAGAACGACCAGCCACACUGGGACUGAGACACGGCCCAGACUCCUACGGGUGGCAGCCUGAGACCGCCAAGGCACACAGGGGAUAGGG
RNAcentral lists this ribosomal RNA (324 nucleotides) under uncultured Pseudomonadota bacterium. Its description in RNAcentral is "uncultured proteobacterium partial 16S ribosomal RNA". It matches the Rfam family "Bacterial small subunit ribosomal RNA", at positions 29 to 389 of the family's 1533-position model. Lineage: Bacteria; Pseudomonadati; Pseudomonadota. The record is from RNAcentral.